AGAUUUAGUUGAGUUGAGUUGAGUGGAGUUGAGUUGGAGAUUCUUACAAUUCAUUUUGAACUCAAGAGGAUGAUAUUCAGAGAAGGAAAAAGCUUUAUGUUCCACUUGUGGAGGACAAGAAUAGCAAUAUGAGAAUGCUCAAGAUAUCCAGUGUUGAUGAUCUGAUUUCAAAUUCAAUGAAUAUUCUUGAACCUGCCUUGGUAGAUUCUGAGGGAAAUCAUCGCGAAGAUGGUAUAAAGUUCAUUUUUUUCUUGUAGUUUCACAAUGCUUAAAAAGUGAUGAUUUGGUGAUCUUGAAAUUUGUGAUUCAUUUCUCAUGUGGUUGGUGAAGGCUAUUAUUUAUCUGUUGGUCAUAUUUGAUACAGUUAUGCAGGCACGUGAGUCAGUUGACUUGGUCAUCCUACCUGGUAAAUCAUCUUUACAAUUUCUAUCUUCUGUCUAUUAACACUUUACACUCGCUAUGUAAUUUUUUGCCGCUCCUUCUAUUAUCUCAUUUUAUUUCCCUUUAUGCCAGGUCUUGCAUUUGACAGAUCUGGAAAUCGUUUGGACUGUAGUGGAGGGUGGGUUAAUGCUUCUUAGCCAUGGGUUUGCCACGUUCCCUUUUAGGUUUUAUAAAAUUAGAGUUUCUGGGUUUUUAUUCUUAUAUAGCAGCAUUAUGACACUUCUGUGCGUAUUAAUAUGUUAGGUUAAGAAAUUAAGAUAUGGCAGUUUUGCCUGUAUUGAAUUGUUUUUUGACAGGCAAGAAUAGGAAUUCAUCUACAAAAUAACAGUCAUCAUAGAGCUAAUAGUUGAUUAAUUCAUAUUUUUUAUGAUGAUCGGUAGACUUGAGUGAGUGUAAUCAGGGGCGGAGGGAGGGGGGGGGGGGGACUACGGGGAGCCUUGGUUCCCCCAACCCUUCUAAAUUUUUCCUGUAUACAUAUAUAUAUUUAGAGAAAAAAUUAAUUUAUUUUAGGUAAAAUUAUUUUAUUUUAGCUAUUAGCCUUCUCAAAAAAAUAAUUAUAUUAUUUUAUUAAGAUAUUCAAA
This 1022-nucleotide unclassified non-coding RNA is filed under the name Hevea brasiliensis (rubber tree). The record is from RNAcentral. Lineage: Eukaryota; Viridiplantae; Streptophyta; Magnoliopsida; Malpighiales; Euphorbiaceae.